AGUGGGGAAUCUUGCGCAAUGGGCGAAAGCCUGACGCAGCAACGCCGCGUGAGCGAAGACGGCCUUCGGGUUGUAAAGCUCUGUCAGGAGGGACGAAGCCACUCGGGUGAACAGCCCAGAGGGUGACGGUACCUCCACAGGAAGCCCCGGCUAACUACGUGCCAGCAGCCGCGGUAAUACGUAGGGGGCGAGCGUUGUCCGGAAUCAUUGGGCGUAAAGCGCGUGUAGGCGGCCGACCAAGUCCGGUGUGAAAGCUCAGGGCUCAACCCUGAGUCUGCACUGGAAACUGGCCGGCUUGAGUCCGGAAGAGGAGACUGGAAUUCCUGGUGUAGCGGUGAAAUGCGCAGAUAUCAGGAAGAACACCGGUGGCGAAGGCGGGUCUCUGGGACGGUACUGACGCUGAGACGCGAAAGCGUGGGGAGCAAACAGGAUUAGAUACCCUGGUAGUCCACGCCGUAAACGAUGGGCACUAGGUGUGGGAGGUGUCGACUCCUUCCGUGCCGUAGCUAACGCA
This 514-nucleotide ribosomal RNA is filed under the name uncultured bacterium. Its description in RNAcentral is "bacterial SSU rRNA". It matches the Rfam family "Bacterial small subunit ribosomal RNA", at positions 353 to 859 of the family's 1533-position model. The record is from RNAcentral.